This is a ribosomal RNA of Onchocerca volvulus, 121 nucleotides long. Lineage: Eukaryota; Metazoa; Nematoda; Chromadorea; Rhabditida; Onchocercidae. The record is from Rfam.
UUCAUUGGUUGUUCAACACGUUGAAAGCUCGACAUUUCGUCCGAUCUGUCAAGUUGAGCAGUUUUGGGCCUGGUUAGUACUUGGGUCGGAGAUGGCCUGGGAAUCCCAGGCAUUGUUGACA